Molecule: ribosomal RNA, 759 nt
Filed under: uncultured Neisseria sp.
Lineage: Bacteria; Pseudomonadati; Pseudomonadota; Betaproteobacteria; Neisseriales; Neisseriaceae
Description: bacterial SSU rRNA
Rfam family: Bacterial small subunit ribosomal RNA
Source: RNAcentral
AUUGAACGCUGGCGGCAUGCUUUACACAUGCAAGUCGGACGGCAGCACAGAGAAGCUUGCUUCUUGGGUGGCGAGUGGCGAACGGGUGAGUAACAUAUCGGAACGUACCGAGCAGUGGGGGAUAACUAAUCGAAAGAUUAGCUAAUACCGCAUAUUUUCUGAGGAAGAAAGCAGGGGACCAUUUGGCCUUGCGCUGUUUGAGCGGCCGAUAUCUGAUUAGCUAGUUGGUGGGGUAAAGGCCUACCAAGGCGACGAUCAGUAGCGGGUCUGAGAGGAUGAUCCGCCACACUGGGACUGAGACACGGCCCAGACUCCUACGGGAGGCAGCAGUGGGGAAUUUUGGACAAUGGGCGCAAGCCUGAUCCAGCCAUGCCGCGUGUCUGAAGAAGGCCUUCGGGUUGUAAAGGACUUUUGUCAGGGAAGAAAAGGGCGGGGUUAAUACCCCUGUCUGAUGACGGUACCUGAAGAAUAAGCACCGGCUAACUACGUGCCAGCAGCCGCGGUAAUACGUAGGGUGCGAGCGUUAAUCGGAAUUACUGGGCGUAAAGCGGGCGCAGACGGUUACUUAAGCAGGAUGUGAAAUCCCCGGGCUCAACCUGGGAACUGCGUCCUGAACUGGGUGACUAGAGUGUGUCAGAGGGAGGUAGAAUUCCACGUGUAGCAGUGAAAUGCGUAGAGAUGUGGAGGAAUACCGAUGGCGAAGGCAGCCUCCUGGGAUAACACUGACGUUCAUGCCCGAAAGCGUGGGUAGCAAACAGG